GCUGGCGGCGUGCUUAACACAUGCAAGUCGAACGAUGAAGCCCAGCUUGCUGGGUGGAUUAGUGGCGAACGGGUGAGUAACACGUGAGUAACCUGCCCCUGACUCUGGGAUAAGCGUUGGAAACGACGUCUAAUACUGGAUAUGAUCACUGGCCGCAUGGUCUGGUGGUGGAAAGAUUUUUUGGUUGGGGAUGGACUCGCGGCCUAUCAGCUUGUUGGUGAGGUAAUGGCUCACCAAGGCGACGACGGGUAGCCGGCCUGAGAGGGUGACCGGCCACACUGGGACUGAGACACGGCCCAGACUCCUACGGGAGGCAGCAGUGGGGAAUAUUGCACAAUGGGCGAAAGCCUGAUGCAGCAACGCCGCGUGAGGGAUGACGGCCUUCGGGUUGUAAACCUCUUUUAGUAGGGAAGAAGCGAAGGUGACGGUACCUGCAGAAAAAGCACCGGCUAACUACGUGCCAGCAGCCGCGGUAAUACGUAGGGUGCAAGCGUUGUCCGGAAUUAUUGGGCGUAAAGAGCUCGUAGGCGGUUUGUCGCGUCUGCUGUGAAAUCCCGAGGCUCAACCUCGGGCUUGCAGUGGGUACGGGCAGACUAGAGUGCGGUAGGGGAGAUUGGAAUUCCUGGUGUAGCGGUGGAAUGCGCAGAUAUCAGGAGGAACACCGAUGGCGAAGGCAGAUCUCUGGGCCGUAACUGACGCUGAGGAGCGAAAGCAUGGGGAGCGAACAGGAUUAGAUACCCUGGUAGUCCAUGCCGUAAACGUUGGGCGCUAGAUGUAGGGACCUUUCCACGGUUUCUGUGUCGUAGCUAACGCAUUAAGCGCCCCGCCUGGGGAGUACGGCCGCAAGGCUAAAACUCAAAGGAAUUGACGGGGGCCCGCACAAGCGGCGGAGCAUGCGGAUUAAUUCGAUGCAACGCGAAGAACCUUACCAAGGCUUGACAUACACCGGAAACGGCCAGAGAUGGUCGCCCCCUUGUGGUCGGUGUACAGGUGGUGCAUGGUUGUCGUCAGCUCGUGUCGUGAGAUGUUGGGUUAAGUCCCGCAACGAGCGCAACCCUCGUUCUAUGUUGCCAGCGGGUUAUGCCGGGAACUCAUAGGAGACUGCCGGG
This 1109-nucleotide ribosomal RNA is filed under the name Curtobacterium sp. Its description in RNAcentral is "bacterial SSU rRNA". It matches the Rfam family "Bacterial small subunit ribosomal RNA", at positions 35 to 1156 of the family's 1533-position model. The record is from RNAcentral. Lineage: Bacteria; Bacillati; Actinomycetota; Actinomycetes; Micrococcales; Microbacteriaceae.